RNAcentral lists this transfer RNA (73 nucleotides) under Mus musculus (house mouse). RNAcentral describes it as "tRNA-Ser". The record is from RNAcentral. Lineage: Eukaryota; Metazoa; Chordata; Mammalia; Rodentia; Muridae.
GGAGAGAUGGCUCAGUGGUUAAGAGCACUGACUGCUCUUCCAGAGGUCCCAGGUUCAAUUCCCAGCAACCACA